AUACGGAGGGUGCAAGCGUUAUUCGGAAUCAUUGGGUGUAAAGCGCGUGUAGGCGGCCGGGCAAGUCAGAUGUGAAAGCUCCGGGCUUAACUCGGAAAGUGCAUUUGAAACUGCUCGGCUUGAGUCCGGGAGAGGAAGGUGGAAUUCCCAGUGUAGAGGUGAAAUUCGUAGAUAUUGGGAGGAACACCGGUGGCGAAGGCGACCUUCUGGACCGAGACUGACGCUGAGACGCGAAAGCGUGGGGAGCAAACAGGAUUAGAUACCCUGGUAGUCCACGCCGUAAACGAUGUGCACUAGGUGUAGGGGGUAUUGACCCCCCCUGUGCCGUAGCUAACGCAUUAAGUGCACCACCUGGGGACUACGGCCGCAAGGCUAAA
RNAcentral lists this ribosomal RNA (377 nucleotides) under uncultured bacterium. Its description in RNAcentral is "bacterial SSU rRNA". It matches the Rfam family "Bacterial small subunit ribosomal RNA", at positions 523 to 898 of the family's 1533-position model. The record is from RNAcentral.